UCGUCGUUACAGUGAAGGGCUAUCAACAUCUGAAACAAUAACAAACAGUCAACAGCAAAUGGUGGAUCUAACUACAGCCUGUGGUUACACAGAUACCGGCUCAAUCUGAAAAAACCUUAACUGUUGUGCAUCCCUUGAAGGACAUAACCCGUAGUCAAAAUAUUUCCAAACCAAAUGUGCUCUCGGAACCACAAAAUAACAAACUGUCUAAGUCAAUUGUUAAUUCAAAUGCAGUCAUUCCAAAUGAUCUCAACCAAGUUAAUCUUAUUCCAAUCCACGAUAGUGAGGCCAAUAACUCAUUCAUGUAUAGUCCUUGUUUCUGUAAUGUUGUUAGGUUGAACGAAGAUAUGAUUAUUUGCAAUAACAUAUCAUGUCGUGUGCGUGAAUAUCACAAAUGUUGUCUAUACUUAAAUUAGGGAAGAAAAGGUUUGGUGAGAACUGGAAAUGUGAUACGUGUAAAAUAGCUGCAAAGAAAUCUGUUGUCAAGAAACCGUUGAGGUAAAUCAAUUGAUUGUAUUGAAAGAAACGUGAUAAUUAAAGAAACUCAGUAAUACAAUGUUUGCCAAAUGGCACAAUA
Daphnia magna is the source of this 577-nucleotide long non-coding RNA. RefSeq lists it as uncharacterized. NCBI's taxonomy places the organism in Eukaryota, Metazoa, Arthropoda, Branchiopoda, Diplostraca, Daphniidae. The transcript has 2 exons. The record is from RefSeq and is a predicted model, not a curated record.